This 707-nucleotide long non-coding RNA is filed under the name Cricetulus griseus (Chinese hamster). RNAcentral describes it as "lncRNA (ENSCGRG00000025233.1)". The record is from RNAcentral. Lineage: Eukaryota; Metazoa; Chordata; Mammalia; Rodentia; Cricetidae.
UGUCCUCCCAGUUCUUACUCCCUUUGGGACCAAAGGGACCACAUUAGCAGACACAGCCUGGUGGGUUCCACUAUCGGUUUUCAGGGUCAAGCUGCUGCCUCCACACUGAGGAUAGUGGAACCAGAAGAGCUCAAAGUCACAAACAGCAACAGAAACUAUGGGUCCUGGUCUGCUGGCACCUGAUAGAAAGAGAUGAGAUCCAUUCUUAAAUGGAACACUAACAGGAUGGCAUCUAAUGAAUGACUGAGACUUUAGUCAGACUGAGUGGAAACACUGGAGCCAAUCAGAGCUAUGUCUCAGAAGAAAUACACAAAUAUCCAGGAUGUCAUACCAAGGAGAGGAGUGAUUUGGGCUGCCUCUCCCUCCUCCACAGUAACCUCCCUCACCUAAGUGAUCUUGUCAAAGUAAGCCAUUGCUCAAACUACCGUCCUCUCCUACCCAAGCCAACUGCUCCAAUUUUCUCCUAUUCUAACAGCAUUGGAAAUAGCAAGGGGUGGGGGUAGAAUGGAAAAUGACAUUCAAUAACUGAAGAUACUUUUUUAUGUCCCAUACUACCUGAUUGUCAUGAAACAACUAAGAGCUCUUCCAACUUGGCAUCAAAGUUUAAAAUGACUUUUUUUUUUUCCAGAUGGGGUCUCAUUAUGUAGCCUCUGGCUGUCCCAGAACUUGCUUUGCAGACCAGACUGGCCUCAAACUCACGAAGUUCC